CAGCAAGUAAACCUGGGUGCACCUCUGCCUCCUGCUCAUAGUUACUUUUUUCAUGAUGAUAUAAGGAUUCAAAAUCUGGUUCGUGAACGCUUGCCCAACUUUUUCCCGUUGAUGACUGCAAACAUCAAAGGAUCUGAUCAGUGCAAUGCAUCAGUCAUUGAUUACAUGUAUUCCCUCACUUGCAUGUAUUCAUAUUUCAUAUACUAAACUACCAACUUACAUGACAUAAUGGUGUGAUGGCACCUCUUUUGGUGUUGCAGGGGACAGUUUAGCCAUGGAGAAAGUUCUAAACAAGCAUCUGGGAAAAAGAAUGCUGUUCCAAAUUCGACUAAGAGC
RNAcentral lists this long non-coding RNA (336 nucleotides) under Daucus carota (carrot). RNAcentral describes it as "long non-coding RNA (DCAR_LNC004150)". Lineage: Eukaryota; Viridiplantae; Streptophyta; Magnoliopsida; Apiales; Apiaceae. The record is from RNAcentral.